Ruminococcus sp. CAG:108 is the source of this 192-nucleotide non-coding RNA. It matches the Rfam family "6S / SsrS RNA". From Rfam's summary of the family: E. coli 6S RNA was the first non coding RNA to be sequenced, but its function was unknown until recently. NCBI's taxonomy places the organism in Bacteria, Bacillati, Bacillota, Clostridia, Eubacteriales, Oscillospiraceae. The record is from Rfam.
GAAUUCCUGCCCGAUACGCGAAUGAUUUUAAAAUAACCCUACAACAUUUAAAUCGGGAGCUUAGCUCCAUUGAACGGUGUGCAGACCUCCCGUUUUCUCGGAAGAAGGGAGCCUGAAGUUCAAGGGCGGGCACCCACCUGUCACUCAAGUAGGCAGGUUAUUGCAAAAAUCAUACGGUCGGGCGGGUUUUUU